UUCAACUUUUUUUAAAAUAAAUUUAGCUAAAAAUAUGAAGCAAUUAUAUUUCGAUUUUGAAACCUCAGGUACCAAUUAUCAGGUCCUUUUGCUAGCUAGCUAGGGACGGUUAAUAAUUAAUAAAAGUUUAUACGAAACUUACCUAAGCAAUGGAUUUUUUGAAUUGGCUCAAAUUUCAAAAUUUUAAUUUUACUAUCCAAUUUUUUAAAUUGUUUGAUUUAAAUCAGUUGACGAUAUUUUGACUUUAAAAUUUAAUCUAAUUACUUAUUGAAUUUAUAGUUGUGAGAAUUAUACGAAGUAUACUAACUAGACCUUAAAGAUAAAC
This 325-nucleotide long non-coding RNA is filed under the name Ananas comosus (pineapple). Its description in RNAcentral is "long non-coding RNA (ACOM_LNC010773)". The record is from RNAcentral. Lineage: Eukaryota; Viridiplantae; Streptophyta; Magnoliopsida; Poales; Bromeliaceae.